This 253-nucleotide ribosomal RNA is filed under the name uncultured bacterium. Its description in RNAcentral is "partial 16S ribosomal RNA". It matches the Rfam family "Bacterial small subunit ribosomal RNA", at positions 524 to 776 of the family's 1533-position model. The record is from RNAcentral.
UACGAAGGGUGCAAGCGUUACUCGGAAUUACUGGGCGUAAAGCGUGCGUAGGUGGUUUUUUAAGUCCGUUGUGAAAGCCCUGGGCUCAACCUGGGAAUGGCAGUGGAUACUGGAAAGCUAGAGUGCGGUAGAGGGUAGUGGAAUUCCCGGUGUAGCAGUGAAAUGCGUAGAUAUCGGAAGGAACACCAGUGGCGAAAGCGGCUUCCUGGUCCAGCACCGACGUUCAGGCACGAAAGCGUGGGGAGCAAACAGG